This 495-nucleotide ribosomal RNA is filed under the name uncultured bacterium. RNAcentral's name for it is "partial 16S ribosomal RNA". It matches the Rfam family "Bacterial small subunit ribosomal RNA", at positions 30 to 507 of the family's 1533-position model. The record is from RNAcentral.
UGAACGCUGGCGGCGUGCCUAAUACAUGCAAGUCGAGCGAACAGACGAGGAGCUUGCUCCUCUGACGUUAGCGGCGGACGGGUGAGUAACACGUGGAUAACCUACCUAUAAGACUGGGAUAACUUCGGGAAACCGGAGCUAAUACCGGAUAAUAUAUUGAACCGCAUGGUUCAAUAGUGAAAGACGGUUUUGCUGUCACUUAUAGAUGGAUCCGCGCCGCAUUAGCUAGUUGGUAAGGUAACGGCUUACCAAGGCGACGAUGCGUAGCCGACCUGAGAGGGUGAUCGGCCACACUGGAACUGAGACACGGUCCAGACUCCUACGGGAGGCAGCAGUAGGGAAUCUUCCGUAAUGGGCGAAAGCCUGACGGAGCAACGCCGCGUGAGUGAUGAAGGUCUUCGGAUCGUAAAACUCUGUUAUUAGGGAAGAACAAAUGUGUAAGUAACUAUGCACGUCUUGACGGUACCUAAUCAGAAAGCCACGGCUAACUACGUG